AACGAACGCUGGCGGCAUGCCUAACACAUGCAAGUCGAACGAGACCUUCGGGUCUAGUGGCGCACGGGUGCGUAACGCGUGGGAACCUGCCCUUAGGUUCGGAAUAACUCCCCGAAAGGGGUGCUAAUACCGGAUAAUGUCUUCGGACCAAAGAUUUAUCGCCUUUGGAUGGGCCCGCGUUGGAUUAGCUAGUUGGUAGGGUAAAAGCCUACCAAGGCGACGAUCCAUAGCUGGUCUGAGAGGAUGAUCAGCCACACUGGGACUGAGACACGGCCCAGACUCCUACGGGAGGCAGCAGUGGGGAAUAGUGGACAAUGGGCGAAAGCCUGAUCCAGCAAUGACGCGUGAGUGAUGAAGGCCUUAGGGUUGUAAAGCUCUUUUACCCGGGAUGAUAAUGACAGUACCGGGAGAAUAAGCUCCGGCUAACUCCGUG
Molecule: ribosomal RNA, 433 nt
Filed under: uncultured bacterium
Lineage: Bacteria
Description: partial 16S ribosomal RNA
Rfam family: Bacterial small subunit ribosomal RNA
Source: RNAcentral